UACUCCUGCUAAAGUUACUCAAAGCGACGAGCUAGGCGCAGCGAGGAUCUUUGAUUACUCCCGCUGAAGUUACUCAAAGCGACGAGCUGGGCUGAGCGAGGAGCUUUGAUUACUCCAACUGAAGCUAUUCAAAGCGACGAUCUAGGCUGAGCGAGGAGAUUUGAUUACUGUGAUGGUUUUUAUUUUUUAUUUUUUACACGUAGUGGCUUUUUGAGUGGGUGAUUUUUCCUUUUAUUGGGUAGGUAACUGUCAUUUAUUGCCCCUUUUUAAUUCUUACUGCUCACAUCUCUUCGUCUUCUUCAUUUGCUUCCUUCUUUUUCCUUUUUACCCUAAUUUCAAAAGACUUCGUCUUGCUCAUUCACUCCCCAACACAAAGUCGUGGUUUUUCUUUUCUCCCUUUACAAUUCUCCAACUUCUUCGCCCUUUUUCGAAUUUUGCAAAUUUCUAAGCGUUGUUCGUUGUUUCGUUCAUCGCGAAUUGUUUGUUACCCAGUUCUUGUCGUUCGCCGUUAUUAAAGGUACUGUCUUUCAACCUUGUUCCGCCAUUUUUGUACUUAAUUUGUAAAAUUAAGUAUAUUUCUCCCCAAAUUUGCGCUUUAUUGCUUCGCCUUUCUGUUAAUUAGCCCUUGUAUACUAGUUUUCUUGUUUAAAGGCCAAUUCUUUUCUUGUUGUUGUAUUUCCUCUCUCCAUUGUUGUUUUACUGUUCAUUCUUAAGUUGAUUUUCCCCUUUUCUUGACUUUGCUUCCUUGUUGGGGGGUUUUUGAUUUCAUACUCCUUCACCAAGUUUUGAUCUUUCGGCUCUGUCGGAUGUCUCUGAUAGUCAAAAUGUGUCUUCCCGCUCUUACGUUGGCGGUAGCGAGUCCGAGUUUACUUCUUGUUCCGAGUCGGCUCGUUCAGGUGAGCCUCUCAAGCCAUCUGUCCUUUAUUCCUCUCAUGUUUCUUGUAUCCCUCUUGAAGUUAUAUAUCCCCCUAGCCAUGAUACUUCUGCGGGAAGUACUUCUGCCACUGGUGCUCCUAACAUAGUAGAGGCGACUGUCCCUAGCGCUUUUCACCCUUACCUUCGUGGUAGGGUGCGCGAUGAUACUUUUGACCUUAUUAUGAGAGGGAAUUAGUGACUAAGGGUGUCGUGCUGCCUCAUCUUCUCCGUCUGAGGCUAUGUGCUGUUCGCCACGAGCGAUUAGCACUGGAGGUCAAGGCUAACCGUCCUACUAAUGCUCCCAUAAGCCCUUUUUUGAUGUACUUCCUUUGCGUGAGUUUGCUUGGUUGGAUUAUAUAUCUGAUAUGCACUGUUUUGAUCAUUAUGUAGUGCGCAGUUCAACUCUUGUCACUGGUUUGAUGGCUGCCCCUCAGUCUCAGUCCCCAAGUGAUGCAGGCUUGCAUGCCUGCCAGCCGUGGUUUAUAAAUGAGGUGGCUCCUCCAAGUGAUGCCUCGUUCUACCUAGACGAUAAGGUUGAAGGUCCUAAGCUAUGCACACUGAGUUUAGACUGGCGGUCUUUAGCAGACCGUCUCAAGCUUGCGGAGUGUGGUAACUCAUUUUUUGGGCUGGGUUUAGGUUAUGAGCUGGUGUUGACCUGAGGCCACCUUUCUGACCCCCCUGCCGAUCAUAUUGCUGUCUUUGCCUCUUAGCUGGAUGUGGGGUUGAGGUUUCCCCUAGACCCAACUCUAGAUAAGUUGUUGCGUGCCUUUAACAUCCUUCUCUCUUUGAUUUUAUCAGUUUCCUUGCACACAUUAAUUUGCUUACUCUGGACGGUGCGCUACAAGCGCUUUCCUGAGUCCUUAAACUUGUUUCACUCCUUGUUUAGCUUCAAACGAAGCAAUUUAGUGUAGACUCUGGUUGGUUUUAUCUUGCACCUAAGCCCAAAAGGGUCUUGUCCUACCCUAAGCUAGGUCGCUUUAAGGACUGGCAAGGGAAAUUCUUCUGGUUACGUGUCCCUACUGAUUUUGGGUGCUCUGGUUUCUUCUGCUCUGUAAGAUCAAACACGGGUGGCGUUACUCUGUAGCCGACUGAUGUUGUCAAAGAAGCUCAAGCUUAUGCUCAUUUUGAGGGUGAAUAUUACGCACCCAAGGUAUGGCUUCCCAACUGCUUGUAUGUCAUUGGGAACGCUCAGCUCUCUGCCGUGCGAUUAUGUUCAACCCAUGAGUCUGGUUAUGAUAAGUUGGACAAGGUGUUGUUGGGUGUAAAUGAUACCUAGAAUCCUGUCUUAAAGACUCGAGGAUAUUCCCCUUAUCCUUUUGAGGUAUUGGAAUUUUAUACUGUCGCUCGAGCUAGCGAGACACGUCCAGGCCCUCUCAAAUUUAGACAUGGUUCAACCACUACUGGCGGUUCUGGUCGUUCUACGCCCACUGUACGAGCAGAGGCUGAGCCAGAACUUUCUACUACUGGUAAUGAUCAAGCCAAAGGGGCUAAUAACUCUCCUCAGAAGUCUGGGUCAUUGGCUGCGCUGAUUUCUUCGGCUACAAUCAUCGGUCUAUUGGGCAUGUUCUGCCCUCCCUUGGGGAGACUUCUCUUCCUACUACGCAGAGUGUUCUUGGCCACGUGUCUACUUCUGCCAAGCAUGUUCUACACGAAACCCCUUUUUCUAUAGGUCUUGCUAUUCUAAUUCCUAGGUUUGUCUCCACUUUUUCUGAUACUACCAUAACUCACAACCCCCUUUCUCAGCUUUGGUCCUCUACUUCCAGGUACCAAGGUGGUUUGUGCAAUUAUCGUCGUGGUAGGCACCCACCUAGCAUUUCCGACAAGGGGACCCCUACUGUAAUUAUUGAUUUGGAACCGUUCUCCUCCUUACGAGCCUUCUCCGAAGAGGGCCCGGAUUCCAACUGUGGAGGAGCUAUUUGCAUCAGCCUCUGGCCAAUCUAAGCCUGCCCUUGCAUUAAAUUCUUAAGGUGGAGCUGCUCCUGCCUCCAGCAACCUCAAUCGCUGUGUGAACCUGUAUUUUGGGGAAGCUUAUGUCCAUCCCUUCUCGGCUUCCUCUAGGUCUGCAGCUGGAACUUUCAGGGCAACUAGCCCUCUUGAAUUUUUUGAGGUUCACAUUGAUCCUUCUCUAUGACCUGUGUUAUGCCCCUCUAGGGUGAUUGACGAGCCAUUCCGCUCUUCAAUGAACGUUAAGCCUGACGAGUCCAUCUUUCUUGAUUGAUGGCCUCCAGGGAGGCACCCUUUGGUUCAGGCUGACCCAGGGUGUUAGGCUCCCUACCGGCUCUAGAAACGAGUAUGUCAGUAUUUCUGCUGCUACUGCCUGCCAUGACUUGUAGAGGGUAUGUUUAAUAUUUUUCCUUCUUUUCCUUAUUCUCUUUACUUAUACUUUUCUUGCUUGCUUUACAUUUGAGAUCUUACUGCAUUUUUUGCAAUUGUGUCAACUUACUCACUUUGUUGGGGAUUUAGCCAAUGCUUUAUUGUUUAGUGAGAAAGAAUAACAGUCUCAAGGCUCGAACUUGAAUGCGAAGAUUGCUGAACUUGAGCUCGUAUUAGUGGAGAAAGGAGAGCUUGAGCAAGGGUUAAAGGCGAGGAGUGCUAAGCUAGAGGCUGCUCAGCUACAACUGGCUAAACACCUUCCUUCAACUCAGAAGUUAGCCGAAUGUGAAGAGGAACUGAAACAAGCUCAUGUUAGAGUGCAGGACUUGGAGGCACUCGUAGCUCGCUUGGAGGGAGAUAAUGAUGUGGUGUUAGAAGCAGCUCGCAAAUGCCUUGGUGUAGUUUGUUUCUUCCCCCACCUUUGUGAACUUGCUCACUUACCAGCACGAUAGAGGUUGGGAGGCUGUGUGUAGGAAGGCUAAUAAUAUCUUUGGCACGGGUAAGGAGCAAUAGAAAAAAUUUGAGCAAUUUUGGGCCAGGGGUUAUUAGGCAGGGAACCAAUAUGCCUAUGUUCACCCUACUGACAAUGCUCGCAUGGUAGCCUAUAAUAUCCCAGCCCAUGCCGUUCUCAACAAGGUUCCCAACGAGUCUCCUAAUAUUAUCGCUGCCGUUGGGGUGGAGGCUCUACUUGCCAACUAAUAAAUGUAUUGGCGGCCAUCUCCCUCUUUUUCCUGUGGCUCAUCUGAGUAUCCCUCUCCCCGUUCUAUAGUAAGCUAGUGCUCUUAGUUUUUUCCAUUGGGGUGUAUGGCCGCCAGUGGGUAUAUGUUUGAGGCUCUUAGGCUGUAUGUGGCCAGGCCGCUUAUUGGAACUGUUUCCCUUUUAGCGUUAUGACAAUACUUUUGUGUUUUGGAUUCUUACUUUGCUUACCUAGUGCCAAGGGGUUUCUGGCACAAGUUUGAAUCUAUUGUGUGUAUGCC
Molecule: long non-coding RNA, 4265 nt
Organism: Chenopodium quinoa (quinoa)
Lineage: Eukaryota; Viridiplantae; Streptophyta; Magnoliopsida; Caryophyllales; Amaranthaceae
Exons: 2
Source: RefSeq, a predicted model, not a curated record